UCAGUUCAUCUCCUGGAAUCUCUGGUCCAGGAGGUCCUCUCGAUUGCGGGCCUCGAGGGUCUUCUGGUGGAGUGGAGGCAGGGACUCUCCGGGGGUUGAAUCAUGAUCGGACAGAGGACUCUCCGCCUUCUGUUUCUCUCUUCUAGGAAAGACAGGGUGGCUGGCCCAUGUGGCCCGUCCGAUCGUCAGAUUCUAGAACUCCGGCGAUGC
RNAcentral lists this long non-coding RNA (210 nucleotides) under Elaeis guineensis (African oil palm). Its description in RNAcentral is "long non-coding RNA (EGUI_LNC031292)". Lineage: Eukaryota; Viridiplantae; Streptophyta; Magnoliopsida; Arecales; Arecaceae. The record is from RNAcentral.